Molecule: non-coding RNA, 2736 nt
Organism: Oncorhynchus mykiss (rainbow trout)
Lineage: Eukaryota; Metazoa; Chordata; Actinopteri; Salmoniformes; Salmonidae
Source: RefSeq, a predicted model, not a curated record
ACUGUACCUAAAACAGGAAGCAACGAGACAUACAUUUUUUUUUACGAAGGCAGUCUGUGAAAACAACGUCAAAACCGUGGAAGAAAAAACUUGUCCACGAGAAGAGAAACUACACAUCAAAAUCACAGCCUCUUAUUGUGGAUGCAUUUGAUUCAAUCGAAACGGAGAAGGUCUCUGUUGACAAAAUGGGACAGCAUCUAGGAAAACGCGAGCCACAGCCGCAGAGCAAGCCUUCGUCACCAGAAGCAGAACAGACCAUAGAACCAGCACCCAUUGGUGAGAUCAUGGCAGAACCCGAAUCACAAGAUGAGGUCUUUGGCCUGGGUGAGGCAGAUGUGAACCCGAACAAUGGCUGCCCCUCUGAGAAGGCGUCGGCGGCGACUGACUCCACGGGCACUGAGGGGCCCAGCAGCUCCUGGAACGAGGCCAGCACAGCUGAUGCUGACGAUAGCGCCACGCCACGCCCCCACCUGGUCCGCCUCUUCUCCCGAGAUGCCCCGGGCCGUGAGGACAACACCUUCAAAGACCGCCCUUCUGAAUCGGAUGAGCUACAGACCAUCCAAGAGCACAGCGGAGCGGGAUCAGAGUGCGGUUCAGAGGAUCAGGAUCUAGACUAAGUUUGUUUCUUUGCCCUCCCUUUCUCGAUCUUUAAUACCCCCUUCGCUCUUACCUGAGAGACCGAACCCCACUUACAGAGAUACUAGCAGCAUUACCCAACCCUAACCACCGACAUGGCAACUGCAAGCUCCUCUGGACUGUCUAGCCUGGGAAGGAAAAAGAAGGCCCCUGGCCUUAUGGAUCAAAUUGGGAACUUCUUUGGAGGGGACAAGAAGAGGAAGAGCAAGGGUUCUUUCCGUGGCCUGUCCUCUCCUGUCAGACCUACCAAGGCAGCCCCUAAGGGUGGGGAGAACGCUGUUGUGCGCCUCUUCAGAACGAUCGUGUCCCCUGCCCCUCCUAAGUCUAGGUGGACGGCAAUGACUGCGAAACUAGGCCAGAAGUCAACAGGAUCCGCCAAGGCGAAGAAGGCCGGUGCAGGCGACAGCGGAACCCUGUCCAAGAUCUUCAAAAUGUGAUGAUAGCCACCAUUCAGGCGCAAGCCGGACUGGGUCCCUAACCAAAAAAUGAGGUCCCUUUCAAGAGCACAAAGGCAGACGUCAAGGAAAGGGACACGAGUGGGGGAAAACAAAGAAGAUAAAAGAACAGAUCUUUGUCGACUCACACACACACCUCUUCCCUGCUUUUCUAACCCGUUCAUUUUAUAACUCAAAUGCCUCCGCCACCGCACCCGGCUGGUAGACAUAGCGACACAAUCUGUGCCCCUGCUCCUCCCUCCCGCCUCUCCUGUGCAACCAUCUUGGAUGUGAACUGUUGCCGAAGUCAUCCGGACCCCCCUCUCACAGCCUAAAGGACCCCUGUCGUAGCUCUACAGUACCUGUGUCUUCAUUUCUAUUUCUCUGUCUGUCUGUCUGUCUGUAUAGAGUCGUCUAACAAGGCUGGCUAUCUGGACCAGACCUGGCUGAAGUAGCUUAGGUCCAAUUGACCUGGCCCUGACCGCCUGUGGUUGUGAAAGUGUGACCAGGUCUGGUUCUGGUUCAGAAACGAAUGAUUAUCUGUCUUGUCAUGCUCGUCUUUGUCGUUCCCCCCCCCCAAACCCCACACACUCUCCCAUUUCCUGUACAACCUGACAUGAAUUCAUAGCUAAGCAUCGUCUUACUAAGCUUGCAUGGGUUGUUGCGAUGGCCAGUUGGCCAUGUGUUUGUACGUCUUUACCGUCCCGUGGCAUCAGUGUGAAGUGUCCUGUCUUACGUGUUGCUGUCCUUCCAUGUUUUUACAUUAGGGUCUAUGGCUGGCUGUGAUCUUCCGUGGUAAAAUGACAUCGAGCUACUGAAAGUUAACCCACUAACAGUCUCGCCUGUAGUAUCCACUGAAUUGUAGAAAUCAAUGGAUGAUGUUAUAAUUUCUAAUAUUAUUCUCAUUAGAUUUUCAGUACAUGUAGAUUGAUUAGGACACUAAUGUGUAUGGGAUUGGGAGUUUCCCCAUCUAGAUAUAAUGGAGAUUUGUCUAAAAUGCACUGUUUUGACCUUUGAAAAGCAGACACGGACUGCUCUGAAACCAAGCUCACGCUGGACCUGCCACAACCAUGGCAUUUCCAAUGGCAGGACAGAUUCAAACCCUUUCCCCCCAUUAGGUGUGGUCUUCUCUGUCUUAAGUAUCUCUUGCUUCAUAUAUCUAUCGAAGCACUGCACAAAAUAUGAAUACAAAACAGCUAGCUAAGCAAUACCAUUUCUGACUGCCAGAAACGAUGUGCUGUGUUUACUCCAUGUGGAUAUUAAAACACCAACACUGUCAUAAAGGUGCUCCUUAUUUAACUGUGUAAAAGCAUAAAUGUUAUAAAAAAAAAAGAUACAGAGGGCGUGGAGUUUGUUGACCAAGGUACGAGCGAUGAGUUGCAUAAAACUGCUUAUUACUGCCACUGUACUGUCCAAUAUCCUCCCACCAGUCUUUCCUCCAUAAAUAAAAAAUUUGUGUAAUCUAUAGCAUUCUCUGCCUGUCUCCCCCUGUCACCCCUCCCCCAUGUCUUAAUGUGCGCGCGUGUUUUUGUAUGGGUCCUGUGAAUGAAUGUAGAAUGAAACUCUCGAGACCCUCAUUGUUGUAUCUAUCGGUAAUAAAAAGAUGUACGACCAGCCACUUAAUAACUUGGAAAAAAUAAAGGAAUUAAAAAUCAUUAAAUCGUUA